GCAGUACGCAAUAGAGGAAAAACGCGCGAGAAGACAAACAGAAAUACAAAGGUGACCACACUUUAAACAGGAAAACUGAGCAAUGGAAGAUGAAAGCACAAAUUGUUGCCUUGAUUUAUAUAUUGAAACAUUAGAGAAUCAUACUAGUGGAACUAAUGUCCAGAGGUCACCAUUACAUGUUAAUGAGAACAGCAAUGCCACAUUUGACAUCUAUUCUGACCUUGACAUGCUUGAUAAUCUUCCUGAGGCAAAUUGGGUUACAUCCAGAGAGUUUAGGGAUGUUUCUUCAGGUACUGAGCAAACUGAGACAGACACAGUCACACGUAAGGUUAACAUGGAAGAUCAAACAGCAAUGUGUGUUAGUGAAGCUGCUGUUGCAUCGGAUAAACCAAAAGCUAGCCUCAUAGAAGGAACAGCAGAACAAGAGAAUAUAAAGGCUUGUUCACACUUUUGCUCAGAUAGGUGAUAGCAAGCACCAACAAACCCAUGUAGUAGGUUUUCCUGCUUCUCUUUCUGGAAGAUCAUCAGAAAGUCUCUCCAAUGCAAAACCUGAUGUGCCUGCAACAAGUAAAAAGCUGAGUAAAGAAUCAUCACUUGGACAACAGCUGAAGGAAUCAAGGCAACAGCUCAGUGUCUGGCAGAACAAGUUCAAGGAGUUGGAAGAAAAAUACAUCACCUUGAAUAAAAACAUGCUAUCUUUGCUUCUGACUGCUCGCCAGGAAGUGGAAAAGAAGGACUCGCUCAUUGCAAAACUCAGAACAAAUCUUGGCUGUAAAGGAUCCUUGGAAACCCGAACAUCAGACGCAGCAGUAAACACA
Molecule: long non-coding RNA, 818 nt
Filed under: Pomacea canaliculata
Lineage: Eukaryota; Metazoa; Mollusca; Gastropoda; Architaenioglossa; Ampullariidae
Description: uncharacterized LOC112565557, transcript variant X2
Source: RNAcentral